This 376-nucleotide ribosomal RNA is filed under the name uncultured organism. RNAcentral's name for it is "partial 16S ribosomal RNA". It matches the Rfam family "Bacterial small subunit ribosomal RNA", at positions 527 to 896 of the family's 1533-position model. The record is from RNAcentral.
GUAGGUGGCAAGCGUUGUCCGGAAUUAUUGGGCGUAAAGCGCGCGCAGGCGGUUCUUUAAGUCUGAUGUGAAAGCCCACGGCUCAACCGUGGAGGGUCAUUGGAAACUGGAGAACUUGAGUACAGAAGAGGAAAGCGGAAUUCCACGUGUAGCGGUGAAAUGCGUAGAGAUGUGGAGGAACACCAGUGGCGAAGGCGGCUUUUCUGGUCUGUAACUGACGCUGAGGCGCGAAAGCGUGGGGAGCAAACAGGGAUUAGAUACCCUGGUAGUCCACGCCGUAAACGAUGAGUGCUAAGUGUUAGGGGGGGUUUCCGCCCCCCUUAGUGCUGCAGCUAACGCAUUAAGCACUCCGCCUGGGGAUACGGCCGCAAGGCUG